CUCUAGAAGAGAAAACAAAUAGAAUUUGUUGGUUUACUGAUAUCAUACCAGAAUGCUGGAAAGCAUGAGAGAAGGAUUUCCUGGAUACCAUCUCUGUUCAAACAAGGAUAAAGUGCAGCCAAAGAAGGAAAGACAAACAAAAGAUUUAAAGCGUUGCUAGAGAAGGAAAGAACUAGAUGAGAAACCACAAUCUGGAUGUAAUUAAGAGGAAUUCAGCACUGCUCUUCUCUGUGAUGCCACUCAUUACCUGUGCAAGACCUUUUCAACAUAGAAGCAGAAGACAAACACUUGCAAAGGGAAAACAACUCCCUGUAACUACAUACUGCAUCUCUCACCACGCUUUUUAAUCUCUAACACACUAGGAGCAUGUGCCAGAUAGCAUGUGUACCUUUCAGAGAUAACCUGGAGUUACACAGCCACCAGCUCAAGCAACAUGAACUUCAGCCUCACACGGCCUGUUCCAAUUUGCCCACGCUAAGCCUUCAUGUUCCCACAGCAAAUGCCAGUGCCUUGAGUUUGCUGGAUACAGAUACUCCAAGGGACUGCUUAGGUAUGCAGCUACAUCCAUGUUGGCUUUGUGUAGCUGAUGCAUCUGUUGUUGUUGUUGUUGUUGUUUUUAUUUGUUUGCUUUUGUGAAAUAAUGGAAAUUCCAAUCGUAAUUUUGGUGGGAGUUUAAGGCUGUGGGACUACCUGCCAAUGCUCAGUACCGUGCUGUUUCUAACCCUCGCAGGCAUAAAAUGUUGAGAAUGUGACUGACUAAACAGAGAUGAACACAUCAAAAACUGUUCUAGAGGUAUGCAGGAAAAAAAUAUAAAUGCUCCAUAUAUCUUUACUACAUCUGUGCUCGUUCUGCAUUUAUUUUCCCUUAAUCUUUUAGGAGAGAGACUCCCUAGGAACAUACCGAAACUUGAAAUUAUUAUUUGUAACGUAUUUGCAAAAAAACUAGAAAGUGUGGGGGACAGUAAAAGCAAGCCUCCUUUUACACAGUGAGCUAGACUCAAAGGAGGUACACACAUCCACCUAGGAAACAAAAAGAAGACCCUUGGCCCUUCUAUCCAGCAGGUUUAAGAGCCAUAUACUCAUCAAAGAUGUCC
Gallus gallus (chicken) is the source of this 1094-nucleotide long non-coding RNA. The record is from Ensembl. Lineage: Eukaryota; Metazoa; Chordata; Aves; Galliformes; Phasianidae.